Molecule: long non-coding RNA, 2442 nt
Filed under: Helianthus annuus (common sunflower)
Lineage: Eukaryota; Viridiplantae; Streptophyta; Magnoliopsida; Asterales; Asteraceae
Description: sRNA HanXRQr2_Chr02g0063511
Source: RNAcentral
AUUCUCAGUUCCAUGGAUAUGCAAUCAUCACAUCCAGUGAACCAAAAUCAAAAUCAAUGAUGAAUCAACAAAAAUUAAUGUAUAAGAAGACAAGUGAAUAUAAAAAAAUUGAUUAGUGGACCAAAAUCAAAACCAAAAACUAAAUAGAAAACUAGCCAUCAAAGAUCAUUUCAGUAAAAUCAAAGUUAAUUCAUUGUGUUCCGUUUCAGAAUCGUUCUUGAUUCAUCAACAAUUCAACAUAGUAGCCUUUCCCAUUUUGAAUAAAUGGUUUCAUGAUGGAAUGGAUAAAUGGAGGUGAAGCUAUAGGGUAUGUUUGGCAAAAGUAGCUGGUGACUGGUAGUUGGUGGCUGAAAGCUGGUAACUAGUAGCUAGUAGCUAUAGCUUUUUGGAUAUAUUUGGUAUUUUUAUUGAGUAUGAGUUUUUUCUUAAAAGAUUAAAACUAGAAGCUCCUAAAAACUUCUAAACACUCCAUGCCAAACAUACCCGUAAUAGUUUUUUGAAGGGUAAAUUUUGGUGUUUAAUCUCUUUUACAUCUCAACUCCUUUAUCAAAUUUUCUAAUUAAAUACCCGCUCUUUCACUAGAAUUUAUUCAAACAUUUUAAUUACAACAUUCUAGUUAGAAUAAAAGUUUUAAUAUUUAUUUAAAGACUGUAGAUGAUAAUAAAAACGUUAAAAAACGAUCAGUUUGAAUAUUUUUUGAUGUCAAAUCAUUUUAAUGUAAACAUCCUAUACCUAAUAACAAAAUCUGAUUAUAUAAUACAUAUAAAUCUUGUUUUUUAUGAAGAAAAUUUAAAAUAAAAUUCAGUUUAUAUGUCGUAUUAAACACCAUAAAUUAAAAAAAAAAAGAAAAAAAAACAGAAGAUGAGAGAAUGAUCUUACUUCCAACGCUCGAAUAUAUUCCCAUUCUUCUUGUUUUUUCCCGUUCCCUGUAUCAAACAUAAAAAUAAUCGCAACCACUUUUAUUUUUUAGUAUUAGGCAUGUAAACAAAUUGAACUUACACGAAUGAGACCUGUUCGGGUUCGUUUAACUUUAACUGAACAGAUUUUCUUGUCCAUUUGUUCGUUAAGGAAUUAACGUGUUUGUGUCUGUUUAUGUUCGUUGUUUGAAAAUUCUUAACAAAGGGUUCACGAACAUAAACGACACAAGCAAACAAUAAUGACACAAACAAACAUAAAAUAAACGACACAAGCAAACAAUAAUUGACACAAACAAACAUAAAUGAUGAUAGAUAUGAAUACGUAACUAAAAAUAUGUUAAAAGAUAAAUGAUGAGACCUUGCAUCCAGCACAGUCGAUGGCACCUUGGCCUCCACAGGUUUCACAUUUCUUGAAAAUCUGCAAAUAUCAUAUUAUUAUUGCAGUAAAUUAGAAAAGCAUUUUAUGUGUACAUGCUGUGUAUACAAUUAUGAAUACACUAUUAUUAUUUUUUUAGUAGUUUCACAUGCAGUGUAACCUUUUAAUCCUGUCAUUUGUGGGACUUGAAUACAAAACCUUCAAACCUAGGCAUUUAUAAAAGUUGUCCAAUGGGCCACCAAGUCAUUUCACUUUCUCUCAAAACAUAUUUGAAGUUUUUUCUUCGGUGAGAAAAGGGGUCAAACUAGAACGAAUACAAUGUUAGAAAUUAAUUUUACACGUUUAAAUUUAUGUGAAUUCGUAAAUAAUUAAAAUUUACACAUGUGUAAGUUUGUCAUUUACACAUGUGUAGAUUUGUUAUAUUUACACGUGUAAAAAUGCUAGUAAGAGUGAUAUUGAGAGGAGAAAUGAAUUAAUUGAUGUUCGUUCUCAAGAUAACGCUUCCCUAUAUAGAACUUAAAAGCUUUAUUUGAAUGUCAAAAGGACUAGAGACAUUUUUAACAACCACAAAUAGAAGAUAAACAGAUUAAUAGAAGAUAAACAGAACAAUACAAUAGUUUGAUGUGGCCGGCGUUUAAUGAUAUUAAUGAAAUAGUAAUGAAAAGGUAUGAAGUAAUAAAAACCCGAGUUGGGAAAGAUGGUUAAAUUGCAUACCGAAUAAUGUUGACCAUCUUUGUAACGGUACCUUUAUCAAUCUAUAGUUACAAGAAUGAUUAAGAGUGUUGUUAAUUAAGACCCCUUGAUGCUCAUAAUCAUUUCAUUACAUCAGUCAUACGCUAUUUGUUGCCCUAUAUACAAUGUUCCAUCAAAUCACUUUGAAGGUUGAUUAGUAGUAACACAGAGAAACCACAGGGUGUCAGCCCAGUGGCCACCGGCGGCACCCAUCUAAAACCGGUUCGGGAGUCCAAAGUGGCGCGGGUUCGAAUCCUGCUUGUAGGCUCUUCGCUCCCCUCGAACUCGGCUGGGUAGUCACCGCCAGGCAGCGUUGCCGGGUCGCUAGCUUGUGAAGGGAGAUCCCUUCCGCGGUCAGGGGUCCCGUGCAAUUACCCUUUUUUAGUAGUAACAUAGAGAGUAAUGAAUAAAACUUAC